CUAACGCAACGCGAAGAACCUUACCUGGCCUUGACAUCCAGAGAACUUAGCAGAGAUGCUUUGGUGCCUUCGGGAACUUUGAGACAGGUGCUGCAUGGCUGUCGUCAGCUCGUGUUGUGAAAUGUUGGGUUAAGUCCCGCAACGAGCGCAACCCUUAUCCUUUGUUGCCAGCGGCUCGGUCGGGAACUCAAAGGAGACUGCCGGUGAUAAACCGGAGGAAGGUGGGGAUGACGUCAAGUCAUCAUGGCCCUUACGGCCAGGGCUACACACGUGCUACAAUGGCGCAUACAAAGAGAAGCGACCUCGCGAGAGCAAGCGGACCUCAUAAAGUGCGUCGUAGUCCGGAUUGGAGUCUGCAACUCGACUCCAUGAAGUCGGAAUCGCUAGUAAUCGUAGAUCAGAAUGCUACGGUGAAUACGUUCCCGGGCCUUGUACACACCGCCCGUCACACCAUGGGAGUGGGUUGCAAAAGAAGUAGGUAGCUUAACCUUCGGGAGGGCGCUUAACCCACUUGGUUUACAAAGGA
This 526-nucleotide ribosomal RNA is filed under the name Erwinia sp. CZGRY9. RNAcentral's name for it is "bacterial SSU rRNA". It matches the Rfam family "Bacterial small subunit ribosomal RNA", at positions 951 to 1474 of the family's 1533-position model. Lineage: Bacteria; Pseudomonadati; Pseudomonadota; Gammaproteobacteria; Enterobacterales; Erwiniaceae. The record is from RNAcentral.